GCCACUGUGGUGGAAUGGUAGACACGCAUGCCUUAGGAGCAUGUGGGCUUAGCCCGUGUCGGUUCGAGUCCGACCAGUGGUA
This 82-nucleotide transfer RNA is filed under the name Caudoviricetes sp. RNAcentral describes it as "tRNA-Leu". It matches the Rfam family "tRNA". From Rfam's summary of the family: Transfer RNA (tRNA) molecules are approximately 80 nucleotides in length. Their secondary structure includes four short double-helical elements and three loops (D, anti-codon, and T loops). Further hydrogen bonds mediate the characteristic L-shaped molecular structure. tRNAs have two regions of fundamental functional importance: the anti-codon, which is responsible for specific mRNA codon recognition, and the 3' end, to which the tRNAs corresponding amino acid is attached (by aminoacyl-tRNA synthetases). tRNAs cope with the degeneracy of the genetic code in two manners: having more than one tRNA (with a specific anti-codon) for a particular amino acid; and 'wobble' base-pairing, i.e. permitting non-standard base-pairing at the 3rd anti-codon position. Lineage: Duplodnaviria; Heunggongvirae; Uroviricota; Caudoviricetes. The record is from RNAcentral.